UAACAUUUCACAUCAAGUAUUCAUAUAUACAUAAUUGGACCUUGACCAUCAGCGGAGUGACUCUGGGCACGGUUGCUAACAUCUAAUGUCAGAGUAAACCUACCGAGCAAUGGAUAGGGAGGAACACCUCGUCCUAGGAUCCAAUCACCUUUGACUUAAAAAAACCUAAAACAUGAAGUUUAAAAAUGUGAAUACAAACUCAGUGAGUGAACAUAGGAAGGGAACAAGCAGCGUUAAGGAAGGUUUAGAAAUCAUGAUGCACUUGUUUUGAAAAUAAUGUAAUUUAGUUUAAUUUUUUUCUUAAACCCCUUGUUUCGAAUAUUGAUUAGUAAACUCUUAGUGUUGCAAAGAACGAUGCUCAAUCAUGAAGAUAGAGGAGUGAAAAAAAAUUAUAUCAGAACCCAAGCAAGGUAGCAACAUGACAGCACAUUUCUCGCUACAAUAAACAUCAAUUUGAAAUUACUUAGCAACUUUCAAUGUUCAACAUGCAAGAUUCCACAUACAUUACAACCACAUACUAUAUUCACAAACCUUCUAUUACACAUGUACAUAUAUAUAUAUAUGUAAACAUGAAUACCACCACCUCACUCAGCCAACGUGCACUCCCUACAUGCACAUCAUAGUCGGCAUGUGCACUGCCCACUCCGCACAUGCACGGUUGUAAUUGUCACAACGUUGUCAUUCAAUUGGCAUAUGCACUGCCCACUCCGCACAUGCAUGGUCAUAAUAGUCACAACAUUGUCAUUCAACCGACAUGUGUACUGCCCACUCCGCACAUGCACGGUUACAUCAAUUACACAAAAUUACUUAACAAUACACAUCAUAUAUUACUAUUUUUUUUAUAUAUACAUAUCAGUAUCAUAUAAAGGUACAUAGAUUCAUCACAAUCAUGUUCCACAUCACAAAAACAUUUCACUAAGGGCUUGUUCCCAUGCAUUUUUAUAGAAAAACAAUUAAAAUAUCUCAAUCAACCACAUGUGCCUUACUCCCAAAACAUUUUAUGCAAGUUCACUCACCUUACGAUAGCAAGAUAUUACAUCGUUAUUUGAUAAGAGGUGUCCUUGAUUAUUUUCACUGGCCAGUUGCUCGAUGUUUACUCCGACACGCCACCACAAUACUCUAACCUUAUCUUUGCACUUCCUAACAAUAAUACGAACUCAAUAUAUUUAAUUAUAUACGUAUACGGGCAACACUUUAAUCAAUUAAUCGUUACUCAAAUUUAUAUUUUUCAUCCUAUCAUGAAACUAUCUUUAAUUAACUCACAUCUUAAUACAUUUUUGCUAAAAUUACUUAUAUCCAUUGCUUACGUAAUUCCUUAAAUUAUAUCACCGGUAACUUAAUUAUGAUGUCAUGUGUCUACUUCAACCCUUCUAAAUAAUUUCCACACAUAAUCCACAUAUAUGGCAGCAAUAAUCAUUCUCACUUUCACUCGAUUAUUUCCUAGUUUACAUGCAUCGUUAUCUAUCUAACUUUCAAUACUUUGUUUCUCAAUCCUCUAUCCACAAUAUUCCUUUUUCAUUUCUUUCAAACAACAUGCCAUACAAUCUUAAUAAUUUUCAACUAGCUUAGGUAAAUAGAUCAUUUCAACAACCAUAAUUCCUUACAAUAUUCAACUAACCGUAGGCUUUAAAACAUAGUGUUCAGCUUACCGUUUUCCUUUUUUACUUUGAGUCUUUCAUGUACCCACAAGUUUAUUGGCUUAUAUGUUACCAAAUUUUCUCCAAUCAAGCCAAUCUUUGCUGCCACAAGACAUUUCUCUAAGUCACUAACUCAUUUUCAAAGACUACUCAAACCAAAAACAAAAAUCCUAACCUUUCCUUGCUUGAAUCACCAAAACCAAGCUUUUUCUUCCUUUCUCUCUUUUUCUUUCUUCUUCUCCUAGGGUUUAGAUGUGCUGGAAAUUGGGAUUAAAAGCUUCAGGUUUAGUGCCCAAGAAGUUUGGAGAAGAAAGAAUUAAGAAAAGAAGGGAAAUGAGAAGAAACAAGGAAAAUCACAUGAAAAAAUAUUGAUUUUCAUGAACUUGACAUGAAAAUGGCAUUGGAAGCUUCAAGAAGGAGAAGAAAAUGUCUUGCU
Molecule: long non-coding RNA, 2073 nt
Filed under: Theobroma cacao (cacao)
Lineage: Eukaryota; Viridiplantae; Streptophyta; Magnoliopsida; Malvales; Malvaceae
Description: long non-coding RNA (TCAC_LNC000877)
Source: RNAcentral